UUGACCUCGGAUCAGGUAGGAAUACCCGCUGAACUUAAGCAUAUCAAUAAGCGGAGGAAAAGAAACCAACAGGGAUUGCCCUAGUAACGGCGAGUGAAGCGGCAACAGCUCAAAUUUGAAAUCUGGCUCUCGGGCCCGAGUUGUAAUUUGUAGAGGAUACUUUUGAUGCGGUGCCUUCCGAGUUCCCUGGAACGGGACGCCAUAGAGGGUGAGAGCCCCGUCUGGUUGGAUGCCAAAUCUCUGUAAAGUUCCUUCGACGAGUCGAGUAGUUUGGGAAUGCUGCUCUAAAUGGGAGGUAUAUGUCUUCUAAAGCUAAAUACCGGCCAGAGACCGAUAGCGCACAAGUAGAGUGAUCGAAAGAUGAAAAGCACUUUGAAAAGAGAGUUAAAAAGUACGUGAAAUUGUUGAAAGGGAAGCGUUUAUGACCAGACUUGGGCUUGGUUAAUCAAUCUGGGGUUCUCCCCAGUGCACUUUUCCAGUCCAGGCCAGCAUCAGUUUUCGCCGGGGGAUAAAGACUUCGGGAAUGUGGCUCUCUUCGGGGAGUGUUAUAGCCCGUUGUGUAAUACCCUGGCGGGGACUGAGGUUCGCGCAUCUGCAAG
This 599-nucleotide ribosomal RNA is filed under the name Fusarium verticillioides. RNAcentral's name for it is "eukaryotic LSU rRNA". It matches the Rfam family "Eukaryotic large subunit ribosomal RNA", at positions 1 to 609 of the family's 3401-position model. The record is from RNAcentral. Lineage: Eukaryota; Fungi; Ascomycota; Sordariomycetes; Hypocreales; Nectriaceae.